GCCAUUGCUGCCCCAUAUGGUGGGCAGUUCCACCGUGGCCUGGUGUACAUUCAUAACGGGCGUCCCACAGGGCCCAAUCCUGUGGCCUCUCAAGUUCUGGAAGGAACAUGGGCGUCUGCUUCCAUGCCUUCUAGCUUUGGUUACGCUAUGAAUGGAGGCACAGAUGUCGAUCAGAAUGGAUACCCUGACCUGAUUGUUGGGGUGUUUGGCGCUGACAAAGCUGUUCUGUACAGGGCUCGUCCGGUCAUCAGCGUGAACACCACACUGGAUAUCAGCCCACAGAUCCUAAACCCUGAAGACAAGACCUGCACCCUGCCUGGUACAACCACCACAGU
Sinocyclocheilus grahami is the source of this 335-nucleotide long non-coding RNA. RefSeq lists it as uncharacterized. The record is from RefSeq and is a predicted model, not a curated record. Lineage: Eukaryota; Metazoa; Chordata; Actinopteri; Cypriniformes; Cyprinidae. The transcript is spliced from 3 exons.